RNAcentral lists this long non-coding RNA (1645 nucleotides) under Mytilus galloprovincialis (Mediterranean mussel). Lineage: Eukaryota; Metazoa; Mollusca; Bivalvia; Mytilida; Mytilidae. The record is from RNAcentral.
GUGGUGUCGUUGUUCUCCUCUUAUAUUUAAUGCGUUUCCCUCGGUUUUAGUUUAUUACCCCGAUUUUGUUUUUUGUCCAUGGAUUUAUGAGUUUUGAACAGCGGUAUACUACUGUUGCCUUUAUUUCUGUCCAGGGUCAGUGGUUUUACAUUAUAAAAACUGGCAGAUAUGAUAUAAUUAAUAAUGCUUAAAGUGGCAUUAAACACCCUAAAUCAAUCAAUCAAUCAGUCUACUGGAAGGCUCUUUAUGUCUAAAGUUUAUUUCUGGUCAGCCUUUUUAAAAUGAAAAGAAAAGGGAGAGAGGGGGGGGGAUUGUAUGUGGAAGAUUCACUUUUGGACAUGGUUGUGCCAAUGAGGAUCUAUGUCUGUCUGGUUUUCAUGUCUAUUUCAUUUAUGCAAAAUAAACAGCUGUAUAUACAAAGAGCAUAUAAUACAAACGUUUUACAGUUCAAUGUUAGAUAGUAGCUACCAUUAAACUAAAAUAAAAAUAUAUGAAGCAAAUACAAAAUAAAUAUAUAUGUAGCAUAAAUUAUAACAAUAUCUAUAUUUGAUGAAUAUUUACAGGUUAAAAAAUAAUAUACAUAAAAACAAUCACAGCUUAUGCAAUAAAUGCCAUACAUAUAUUUGACGUGGUUAAUUAUAUAGAAAACAUGUCAAAACAUAAUGUCGAAUUCAUCAAAAAACUAGUUCCAUGAACCAUUUACUGUGGACAUGGUGGAUUCAAUAUUAUUUGUUGGAUAUAUAAAAAAAGAAGAUGUGGUAUGAUUGCCAAUGAGACAACUAUCCACAAAAGACCAAAAUUACACAGACAUUACUAGCUAUAGGUCACUGUACGGCCUUCAACAUUGAGCAAAGGCCAUACCCCAUAGUGAGCUAUAAAAGGCCCUGAUAAGACAAUGGUUUUCUUGGGUACUGGUGAACAACAGAUUCAAAUGUUCAAUGAAUUACAUAUUUUAUAAAGGAAAGGCAAAAUAACAAAAUCAAAUUACCAUGAAAAAUUGAUACCCACAUAAAAGAUAAAUGAAUUUUCAGUAAACUUGAACCCAAAAGAUUAUUGUUAUCUCAACUAAUAUAGAUCACAAAACCAUAUUUAUUGCUCUUUUCUCUAGCCUUUAAAGUGGUAUGAUCUAUGACCUUGACAGGAAUAUAAACAGAGAAUGUGUCCUUGGGACACAGAUGAUUCCCUGCUUGUACAUAAUGUUACAAAGGGACAUAACAAGAGAACUUUGAACUUGAUUUGUGUUUUUUAGUAAUAAGCAUUGUAUAUAAGUUUCAUAACAUUUGGUUGCAGUAAACUAAAGUUAGAGAAUGGAAAUAAAUGGACUAUGACAGUAUAAUUGGAAAAAAAUUCAAGUCCUGUCAAUUCAGAAAUUAUUGCGAUGUUUUAAUUAUUACGAAAAAUGUGACAGGGUUAUAGGUAGCAACUAGAUAUCAUUGAGAUGGGAGCCAUCUCUGUGGGCCCCGCUGUGAAUAAUGUGCAUUCAAAAAUUGUAUCUUUACCAUAGGACAUGGGUUUGUCAACUGAAAUCAAAGUUUUUGACCUUGACCUUUGACCUAUGAAGUUGUAAAUAAAUUAUGACACACCCUUUGGUGUUGGUUUAUAAACAUGUCAAGUAUAAGCUUUAAAUGAGUAAAGGUUCUCUAGA